RNAcentral lists this ribosomal RNA (340 nucleotides) under uncultured eukaryote. RNAcentral's name for it is "SSU rRNA". It matches the Rfam family "Eukaryotic small subunit ribosomal RNA", at positions 594 to 945 of the family's 1831-position model. The record is from RNAcentral.
AUAGCGUAUAUUAAAGUUGUUGCAGUUAAAAAGCUCGUAGUUGAAUUUCUGGCCAGCGCUGUUCUCGGCUCUCUGAGUCGGUUCAGUGUUUGGUCAUCCGUAUGGGAAGCUAGCUCGGCCUUCACUGGUCGGCUAGUGGAUCAUACACUUUACUUUGAAAAAAUUAGAGUGUUUCAAGCAGGCAAUUGCUUGGAUACUUCAGCAUGGAAUAAUGGAAUAGGACUUUGACCUAUUUGUUGGUUUCUUCGAGGUCAAGGUAAUGAUUAAUAGGGACAGUUGGGGGCAUUCAUAUUUAAUAGUCAGAGGUGAAAUUCUUGGAUUUAUGAAAGACGAACAACUG